This 68-nucleotide transfer RNA is filed under the name Sphaerodactylus townsendi. RNAcentral describes it as "tRNA-His". Lineage: Eukaryota; Metazoa; Chordata; Lepidosauria; Squamata; Sphaerodactylidae. The record is from RNAcentral.
GGGGCUGUGGCUCAGUGGUAAAGCAUCUGCUUGUGAUGCAGAACAUCUGAGAGUCAAUACCUGCAUCA